GGAGAGGUCAAUCCUUCAAG
This 20-nucleotide small nuclear RNA is filed under the name Arabidopsis thaliana (thale cress). Its description in RNAcentral is "snRNA_06562". The record is from RNAcentral. Lineage: Eukaryota; Viridiplantae; Streptophyta; Magnoliopsida; Brassicales; Brassicaceae.